This 467-nucleotide ribosomal RNA is filed under the name uncultured bacterium. Its description in RNAcentral is "partial 16S ribosomal RNA". It matches the Rfam family "Bacterial small subunit ribosomal RNA", at positions 28 to 506 of the family's 1533-position model. The record is from RNAcentral.
GACGAACGCUGGCGGCGUGCUUAACACAUGCAAGUCGAACGGAAAGGCCCUGCUUUUGUGGGGUGCUCGAGUGGCGAACGGGUGAGUAACACGUGAGUAACCUGCCCUUGACUUUGGGAUAACUUCAGGAAACUGGGGCUAAUACCGGAUAGGAGCUCCUGCUGCAUGGUGGGGGUUGGAAAGUUUCGGCGGUUGGGGAUGGACUCGCGGCUUAUCAGCUUGUUGGUGGGGUAGUGGCUUACCAAGGCUUUGACGGGUAGCCGGCCUGAGAGGGUGACCGGCCACAUUGGGACUGAGAUACGGCCCAGACUCCUACGGGAGGCAGGAGUGGGGAAUAGUGCACAAUGGGCGGAAGCCUGAUGCAGCAACGCCGCGUGCGGGAUGACGGCCUUCGGGUUGUAAACCGCUUUCGCCUGUGACGAAGCGUGAGUGACGGUAAUGGGUAAAGAAGCACCGGCUAACUACGU